CCUACGGGAGGCAGCAGUUGGGCGCAAGCCUGAUCCAGCAAUGCCGCGUGUGUGAAGAAGGCCUUCGGGUUGUAAAGCACUUUUAUCGGGAGCGAAAUACCAUUGGCUAAUAACCGGUGGGGCUGACGGUACCCGAGGAAUAAGCACCGGCUAACUUCGUGCCAGCAGCCGCGGUAAUACGAAGGGUGCAAGCGUUAAUCGGAAUUACUGGGCGUAAAGGGUGCGUAGGCGGUUUGUUAAGUCUGUCGUGAAAUCCCCGGGCUCAACCUGGGAAUGGCGAUGGAAACUGGCAGGCUAGAGUGUGUCAGAGGAUGGUGGAAUUCCCGGUGUAGCGGUGAAAUGCGUAGAGAUCGGGAGGAACAUCAGUGGCGAAGGCGGCCAUCUGGGACAACACUGACGCUGAAGCACGAAAGCGUGGGGAGCAAACAGGAUUAGAUACCCUGGUAGUCACGCCCUAAACGAUGCGAACUGGAUGUUGGUCUCAACUCGGAGAUCAGUGUCAAGCUAACGCGUUAAGUUCGCCGCUGGGGAGUACGGUCGCAAGACUGAAACUCAAAGGAAUUGACGG
This 568-nucleotide ribosomal RNA is filed under the name uncultured bacterium. RNAcentral's name for it is "bacterial SSU rRNA". It matches the Rfam family "Bacterial small subunit ribosomal RNA", at positions 338 to 916 of the family's 1533-position model. The record is from RNAcentral.